AGUCAAAUAUGAUUUUUUUUUUCUUUAAUUUCUUUUUAAAAAUUGUGUUUCAUUUUUAAACUAAAUUAUAUAACUAGUUCAUAAUUAUAAUUUAUGAUAAUCAUAUAAAAUAUCUUUAUUAACAAAUAUUAUGCGGAAUAUUUGUUGUAACAUCCCAAUUUAGUAAUAUAAAACUACUAAAAUGAACAUUUACAUAGAUAAUGAUAUAACAAACUAUAGAUUUGCGAAAAAUAAAAUUCUUCACCUGAAGGACCAA
This 256-nucleotide long non-coding RNA is filed under the name Vigna radiata. RNAcentral describes it as "long non-coding RNA (VRAD_LNC001846)". The record is from RNAcentral. Lineage: Eukaryota; Viridiplantae; Streptophyta; Magnoliopsida; Fabales; Fabaceae.